GUGAACGCUGGCGGUAGGCCUAACACAUGCAAGUCGAACGGCAGCACAGUAAGAGCUUGCUCUUACGGGUGGCGAGUGGCGGACGGGUGAGGAAUACAUCGGAAUCUACUUUUUCGUGGGGGAUAACGUAGGGAAACUUACGCUAAUACCGCAUACGACCUACGGGUGAAAGCAGGGGAUCUUCGGACCUUGCGCGAUUGAAUGAGCCGAUGUCGGAUUAGCUAGUUGGCGGGGUAAAGGCCCACCAAGGCGACGAUCCGUAGCUGGUCUGAGAGGAUGAUCAGCCACACUGGAACUGAGACACGGUCCAGACUCCUACGGGAGGCAGCAGUGGGGAAUAUUGGACAAUGGGCGCAAGCCUGAUCCAGCCAUACCGCGUGGGUGAAGAAGGCCUUCGGGUUGUAAAGCCCUUUUGUUGGGAAAGAAAAGCAGCGGGUUAAUACCCCGCUGUUCUGACGGUACCCAAAGAAUAAGCACCGGCUAACUUCGUG
RNAcentral lists this ribosomal RNA (491 nucleotides) under uncultured bacterium. RNAcentral's name for it is "partial 16S ribosomal RNA". It matches the Rfam family "Bacterial small subunit ribosomal RNA", at positions 29 to 507 of the family's 1533-position model. The record is from RNAcentral.